ACGGGUGCGUAACGCGUAUGCAAUCUACCUUAUACAGGGGAAUAGCCCAGAGAAAUUUGGAUUAAUGCCCCAUAGUGUUAUCGAAUCGCAUGGUUUGAUAACUAAAGUUCCAACGGUAUAAGAUGAGCAUGCGUCCCAUUAGUUAGUUGGUAAGGUAACGGCUUACCAAGACAAUGAUGGGUAGGGGUCCUGAGAGGGAGAUCCCCCACACUGGUACUGAGACACGGACCAGACUCCUACGGGAGGCAGCAGUGAGGAAUAUUGGUCAAUGGGCGCAAGCCUGAACCAGCCAUGCCGCGUGCAGGAAGACGGUCCUAUGGAUUGUAAACUGCUUUUAUACAGGAAGAAACCCUCCCACGUGUGGGAGCUUGACGGUACUGUAGGAAUAAGGAUCGGCUAACUCCGUG
Molecule: ribosomal RNA, 407 nt
Filed under: uncultured bacterium
Lineage: Bacteria
Description: bacterial SSU rRNA
Rfam family: Bacterial small subunit ribosomal RNA
Source: RNAcentral